Molecule: long non-coding RNA, 4497 nt
Organism: Cyprinus carpio carpio
Lineage: Eukaryota; Metazoa; Chordata; Actinopteri; Cypriniformes; Cyprinidae
Source: Ensembl
GUGACAAUGUAUGGAAACUGAUACAUUUUUUUCUGUAAAUAGAAAGUUUUUCCUGAAUGUACAUUUACUUUUGAUAAAUUUAAUGUAUUUUUGCUAAAUAAAAGUAUUAAUAACUUUAAUAUAUAUAUAUAUACCCUAAAUGUUUGAAAGCUAGUGUAUUCAAACUUAUGUCAUAUUUGGCUUCAACACAUGCAAACCAUUUUCCACUAAAGAAAUCAAAUCUACUAUAAUAACCAUGUCAGUUUGCCCUUUUUUUUCUAAAUGUGAAUUAGAUUUCUGAGUGAACAACUUAAAUUUCAUUCUGUUCCACAUACAAAGCUAUCAUACAGCUUCAGAAGACAUGGAAUACAGUGCAUGGGUCUGGUUUUAUGGUGAUUUUUAUUGUCCUUUUUGGAGCUUGACUAUGAUGGCCCAGUAGUCCACAACAAAAUGAAAUAUGCACAACAAUGUAAUACUUGGCCUAAAUAAGGCAGGCUACACAAAUAAAACUUUCCUUUUACCCCUUUAAAAAGCUUGUUUGAAUGAGUGAAGACACAAUAAAUGCCACAGGUAUCAAGGUUGAAUGCCAAACCAAGGUGUGUUAAAUGAAUAGACACCGAAAAAUUUAUACAAUUUAUACAAAAAAUUAAUGAGCAUUCAUUCGAACUUUCUUUUAAAGUCCAAUGUUAUGUGUGUGUGUGUGCAUGUGUGUUUGUUUUGAGUUCAGCCUCACUGGUGAAGUAUACUGAGUCCAAGAGCAUGUAGAGGAACACCGCUGUCUUGUGACGAAAUCCAAGAUAAAUAGUCCAACAAAGUUCGGCUAUUCCACAAGGAGAAUCCCAAAAGUCACAGAAAAAAAAGAAAAAAAAAAGAAAAGAAAAAACAGCAGAGUGUAUGAGACGAUUGAUCGUUGAUUAUAUUCCAAAAUGAGCACCCUGAGCGUUGUUGCUAAACGCCGAUAAACAAAACGCUUUUUUUAUUGGAAGUGUAAAAUCUGCUGAUUCUCUAAUGAGAAAAACAGGGUCCAGCAUACAGUGUAUUUUAUUGGCCCUGUUUUACUUUUUAUUUCAGCUGGGCCCUCCCACUUGGGCGCUAGCUUGUCAGAGAAUUUGUUAGAGGCACUGGAAAGAGGAUGGGUUUUUGACCAAACUCAGUUACCCAUUUUUUCUAUGGUAAUAAUAAUACCUAGCUUGUUUGGCUUGGCUCAUCCUCAUCCUGUUUUUCACCUCCACCAGGAUGUUCUGUUGUUCCACCAGGGAAUACGCAGCCUGAUCAGGUGAAGGUGGUCGGUGGAUUAGGCGUUCCAGUGGUCCCAGCACUUGCCUACCCAGCAUGAGCUCCGCAGGUGUCUUCCCCACUCUUUCCGUCUGGGUGGUCUUAAUGGCAUAGCGGAAUUCUGGUAGCCACUGGUCCUAGGUUUGAUGUGGUUGUCCAACGUAGGCAGCAAUCAUUGUUUUUACAGUCCGAUUGAUUCUUUCAGUUAAUCUCUGAACACAACCCAAUGUCUUGCACAGAUCACCCAAAAUGCUGGAGGUGAACUGGGGACCCCUGUCGGACACCAGUUACUUAGGGACUCCCCAACGAGUAAAAAUCUCCUCGCAGAGGAUUUUCACUAUUUUCUUGGCAUCCCUAAGUGGAAACAUCUCCAUAAUCAACAAUGACAAGGAGGUAGGUGUUCUGUUUUUUUGCUGGUGAGGAAUAGACCCAUUAGAUCCAUCCCUAGGGUGUGUUCAGGCUCUGUUGUCAAGUGAUGAGAAGAAAUUGAGAGGCAAGUGGCAGCAUUAGUAAAAGGUGACUCGUAUACCCGGGUUAACACAUCUGGACCCAUGUUGAGGCAGCACUACCUGUGAUGGACUUGAAAGUUGAGUUGUUGCAGUCGGAGAGUGAGGCAUGAAGAGGUUUUGGGGCAGUUGAAGGCCCAGGCGCGUGCAGCAUGAUCCGUAAAGACAUCAAAUGACCUCCCUUCCAGGUCUGUGAAGCAUAUGCCACCACCUUUCCUCCUUCAGAAGAGUGUUGAGUGAGGAUAGGACCCAGUCCUACAUCGCUCGCAUCUAUGUGAAGGUUCUGUUGAUGUCUGUUUGGAUAAGUACUGGUGAGUUCCGUGAUGCUUGUUUAAGCAUCCAUGCUAUCUUGACACUCUGGAGUCCACUCCCACUUAACUCCUUUCUUUUUAAGGUGGUUUAGUGGAGCAGCAAUGUCAGUAAAGUGGGGUAUGAACUUAUGAUACCACCCUGCCAAGCCCAGAAAUCUUUGCAGAGCUUUAAGUUCCUGCAGUGGGGGGAACUCUGCAACAGCCCUGGUCUUCUCUCAGUCAAUCUCUACACCCCCUUCGGAGACUAUAUGGUCGAGGAACUUGAGCUGUUCUUUGAAGAAGUGGCAUUUCUUCAUAUUCAGGGUCAAGUUGGCCUGGGUAAAUUUAUGGAAGACAGUGUUGAGAGGUUGAAUGUGCUGCUAUAAUGUCUUUGAAUAGAUGAUGAUAUCAUCAAUUUAGACGAAACUGAUCUUCCCCCUCAAGUCAGCCAGAACUCUCUCCAUCAAACGCUGGAAGGUGGCUGCAGAGUUUCUGAGUCCAUAUGACAUAGAAUUGAAUUGAAAUAGCCCCUUGGUGGUAAUAAAAGUGGUCUUCUCUUUACUCGCCUCAUGCAUCUCCACUUGCCAGUAUCCGAACCGCAGAUCCAAUGCACUGAACCAGGAGGCACCUUCCAGGGAUUCUAGGAUGUCAUGAAUCAAAGGCAUUGGGUACAGUCUUGAGAGUGGGUCCCUUCAGGACUGUACUCAGAGUUCGGAUGAGCUCAACGCUGGGGAGUGGCCUAAUCUCCAGAAAGUUCUCACAUUGCUUGAUGAAGCACUUGAGCACUUCUGCAGUCUUACAGGAGUCCCCAAAAGAGGGGAACUCAAGGGAAUGGGAGACCGAGCACAAAAUGAGGAUGAGCCAGCCAUAACUGAGGAGGUAAGCACAUUAGGUGGGUGAGUAGUAAGUAGUAUUUUGAGCUUUAUGAGUUGGAACUUUCUCUUUAACAAGCAGCAUUGGGGUCUGUGGACAAUGGACAGGAGAAAUGUGUGAGGAAGCUGGUGAUUAGGCCUGUAAUCUGGAGAGUGUGGGAGUACUGGUAAAUCUUUUUUUUUUUACUUUCCCAUUUAGCAUCUCUCCUUGCAUUGUUUGUACCAUUCGAAUAUUUAAAGUACAACUCCCUUCAUCAUCAUCAGACUGUUCAGAAUCAGAAAUGUACAAUGACCUAAGCAUAUAUGUUUUUUUAAGCAGUAGGAUUUGCCUAGUUACAAAUGGGCCUGGUGUAAAAUCCACGUCUGGUUGUUCAACAUUCUCUUGGUCAUUUACAGGUGUACAUGGGUUAUCUGUAUUCACAGUGUUCACAACAUUGACAUCAGUAACUGGAUCAGUAUUAGGUACAUCCAUCCUGAUAAUUACACAAAUCCAAACAAACACAAAAAAAAGAGAUCCCCGUACGGGCCACCAACAUGUAACACUCGGCCUAAAUACACCAAUAUAUAACACUCAGCCUUUCCUUUUACCUCUUUAAAAAUCUUGUUUGAAUGAGUGAAUACCAUAGACUGUAUAAAAACAUGGACAUAGUGUCUGUGAUGUCACCCGUAGGUUUCUGAAGAGUGUUUUUGAAGCUCAUCUUGGCAGCGCGUCACUCCCAGAUUAUUGAAAAUGGGCAAAGAGGCGGGAGCUGGUUGCUGAAACCACACCCACCUAACUCGACGGUGUUGACAGCAGCGGCAAUCCACCUGUCAGUCAAGUGGCCACGCCCUUAAUUAUGUACAAAUUCACCUCUCUCACAGUUGUCAUGAAUGGCAAAAUUAGCUCAAUAAACCAGGCUGAAAAACAUAUUUUUUUGUGCUGUAAAGUUGGGCAUUUUGACAUGGGGAGUCUAUGGGACUGACUCCCAUUUGGAGCCAGCCUCUAGCGGCCGGUUGAUGAAUUGCAGUUUUAGUCACUUCCAUGUUGGUUUCAGAGAGAGAACGGCCCUGCUUUCCAUUCGGAAGGGCUCAUUCCUAUGCCCUAAUCCCUUCAAAGGGUUUACCCUCUGGAGUGAGAGCUUGAAGGGUUGAGGGUGUAGGGGACCAAACAACUGUUUCUUGAAGUGCCCUUCUGUGUCAUCAUGCAAAGAAUCUGGCAAAGAAUCAUGGGAGCCCGAAGUGUCCAUCAGUUGUACCCUCUGAAGUGGCCAGUUUUGAGCACUUCGGUUUGGAAUGACCAUUCAGUAUUGCAGCCAUGAUUGUUUCCACUCUGAAGUGCCCUUCGGAGGGCGAUAUAUCCCAUUUGGAAUGCACCGCCGAAGGUUGCCACUUGGUGAAUACACAAUAAACGCCACAGGUAUCAAGAUUGAAUGCCAACCCAAAGUGUAUUAAAUGAAAAGACACUGAAAAACGAUAUACAAUAUCUACAAUAAAUGAAUGGGUGUGCAUUUGUACUGUCCUUUAAAGUCCAAUGUUGUGUGCGUGUGUACGCUUGUGUGUGUUUUCGGUUAGGCCUCACCGGUGAAGCAUAUGGUC